CCAAGAGGAGGAACUAGCCUGGAGGUGGGGCGGAAGGUAGGGGCGGGGGCAAGGCUGGAAACCGGAAGCUGCCCGUGCCGCGCCGCGCGUGCGCCAGAAAUCCAAUGACUUGUCAGCCAGAGUAACGGCUGUUGUCAGGUCUUCAGGGUCUCGAGGGUCUUACUCUGUCACCUAGGCUGGAGUACAGUAGUGCGAUCAUGGUUCACUGUAGCCUCGACCUCCCGGGCUCAAGCAAUCCUCCCACCUCAGCUGGCUAAGUAGCUGGAACUACAGACAUGUGCCACCAUGCCUCAUUAAGGGAGAAGAAAGGCAUGAGGAAAAGAGGAAGAUUGUUAUUGUCAAUAUAUUUCAUAUUGGAAAAGGGCUCCAUGCCACAUUUUUGUUCUGUGGCCUUAGCGCCUCUCUCAGCCUAGUUUUCUUUAGCUGUAGAACAGGGAUCCUAGUACUGCAUAAAGUGUUUGUGAAGAAGAAUACAUUAGCUAAUAACAUAAAGGUUUUAAUACAGUGCAUAUCAUACAGCCUGGCCAACAUGGCGAAACCCCAUCUCUACUAAAAAUACAAAAAAUCAGCUGGGCGUGAUGGUGUGCCUAUAGUUGCUGCUACUUGGGAGGCUGAGGCAGGAGAAUCAAUUGAGCCUGUGAGGCGGGGGUUGCAGUGAGCUGAGAUCGCGCCACAGCACUCCAGCCUGGGCGACAGAGUGAGUGAGACUCCAUCCCAAAAAAAUAAAUAAAUAAAGCCUAUCUUCCGGCCAGAAUAUAAACUCCAUGGAUGGCAUUUGUCUCAGUUAACACUCUUUCUCUAAUAGCUCCUGAAUUGCCUGCUAGAAUCGCCUAUAGGAAGACAUGACAUUAUGGGGAAUGCGUUAAGUAGCUCCCAACAUGGUCAUGUGCUCACACUAGGACUAAGAUACUGUUAUUAAAUAAAUCAUGGAAAAAUGAACUUAGAAAGGGAUAUGAAGGAUUAGCCAGUAAGUCUCUAUAAAACAUAAGGGAAUUAUAUCCAUAUUACCUUGUAUAUAAAAUGCCUUAUUUUUCAGCAUUCUUUUUUUUGUUGUUUUUUUGAGACAGGAUCUCUUACUCUAUGGCCCAGGCUGGAUUGCAGUGGCAUGAUCUUGGCUCGCUGCAGUCUCAACCUCCUGGGCUCAAGCAGUCCUCCCACUACAGCCUCCCGAGUAGCUGGGACUACGGGUGUGCAUCACCAUGCCAGGCUAAUUUUUGUAUUUUUCGUAGAGGGGGUUUCCACCAUGUCACCCAGGCUGGUCUCGAACUCCUGAGCUCAAGCAAUCUGCCUGCCUUGGCCUCUCAAAUUGCUGAGAUUUCACACGCAUGAGCCCAGCCAUUUUUCAGCACAUUCUUUAGGCAAUUUCCUUUCAGCAUUUUAGAGUAGUAAGUACUCUAAGUAGAAUUUACCAAGUUCUUGGUCUUCAUAAAUUGACAACCUCUUAUUUUGUAGGUUAUAGUGCCAUCAUGUGGAUACUUUGUUUUCUUCAAAUAAAAUGUAACCUUUUUAUAACAGAGACUAGAAAACCCAGCCAUCCCAACACCCAGGUAGACAUGAUCGCCAAGGCAGCUGAUUGUCCCAAGGAAUAAGUAUGAGCAAUGAGCACAGAGGGAAAAUCAUGAAACAUCUGAGGACCAUGAGAACUGCUAAAACAAUACGUAGAACUAGCUAUACCAGAGAAAGUCAAGUGAAUGGAUCAGACAAUAAGAAUUGAAAAUAAGCUUAAUAGAGCUUCAGAGAAAGAAGGGAGAAUGUUGGAAACACAAAGCACAAACAAGCAUUUGUGAAUUGGAUGUUGACAAAUAUUAAUGAAAUAACUCAAUGGAUGGGUUGAAUAUAGCUGGACAGUUCACUCAUGAACCGGAAGAUUAGAGCAAGGAAGGAACUAAGAAAUGGAAAGCAUGAAAGGAGAGUUAAGAAAUGUGGAAGGUAGAAGCAUAAAUAUUUUUCUAAUGGAAAUUCCAGAAGGGGAAAAAAAGAACAUGUGAAAGAAUUAUUGCUGAGAAUUUCCCAGAAUUGAAGACAUACUUUAGAAUGAAAAAGGCCAACUCUAACUUUGGGAUUUCUAGCUUCAGAGAAAUGAAAAUUUAGAAUGACCAAGGGGAGUGCACAGGAUUUUUUGGGCAGUGAAACUAUUCUGCAUGAUACUAUAAUGGUGGAUGCAUGCUAUUACACAUUUGUCAAAACCCAUUGAAUGUACAUCACUGAGAAUGAAGCCUAAUGUAUGCACUUUGGAUGAUUAUGAUGUGUCAAUGUAGGUUCAUCAGUUCUAACAAGUAGAACAUGCUGGUGCAGGAUGUUGAUAGGGAGGCUGUGCAUAUAUGGGGGAGGGGAUGAAAGGAACUGUGUACUUUCUGCUCGUUUUUGCUGUGCACCUAAAAUUGUUCUGAAAAAAAUCAAGUCUAUUAAGAAAACAAAGACAGUUUUUUAAAGCAUAAGAGCAUACUUGUUAUAAAAAUACAUGUAAUGCAGUGUAAUUUUAGAAUUCAAGGUCACAUAUUUCUGUAACACUUUUAUUCUUUCAUGCCUACAACUUUCAUGGAAUGGUCCAGUCAAAUAGGUUCCACAUAAUAGGAACCUUCAGUAAUACACCACUCACAUGUAGCAGAAGGACUUUAAAACAGUAUAUUCCCAACUCUUCUAUUCAUUGUGCCAAUGUUGCCAUAUAUUUCACUUUUACAAAUGCUGUAAACAUACAAUACUUG
Molecule: long non-coding RNA, 2705 nt
Filed under: Homo sapiens (human)
Lineage: Eukaryota; Metazoa; Chordata; Mammalia; Primates; Hominidae
Description: HSALNT0357307
Source: RNAcentral